This 611-nucleotide long non-coding RNA is filed under the name Ananas comosus (pineapple). RNAcentral's name for it is "long non-coding RNA (ACOM_LNC044342)". Lineage: Eukaryota; Viridiplantae; Streptophyta; Magnoliopsida; Poales; Bromeliaceae. The record is from RNAcentral.
GCUCGACUUUCACUUUUAAAGGCAUGUUUGUUUCACUGCAAUUGGACUUUGGGUUGAAAUGGAGUUCGGUGAAAACUACUUCUUUUCUGCUGUUUGUUUCGUAGUUAUGGAAGUGAAGUUUCGUUAGUUUUGCUGUUUGUUUGGUAGGAAGUGUAUGGUGUAAAACUAUAAUUUAUAUAUAAAUAAUAAAUAUUUUGAUAAAUAAAAAUAAUAUAAUUAUAUUUUUUUAUAAUUAAAAUUUAAUUUAAAACAACUAAAUUAUUUUUUUAUACAUAAAUUAUAGUAAUACAACAAUAAAAUUAUAAAGUAAAAAAAAAUGUUAAUGCUUAAUUAAUCAAUUUUUAUAAUGUUUUAAAUGUACAAACUAAAUAAAGAAGAUAUUAAAACUUAACUAAUCAAGUUUUAUCAUAUUUUAGAUAUAUUAACUAAAUAAAAAAUAAUUAAUAACAUAAUUAAAUAUAUUUAAAUAAAACUAUCUUUAUCUAUAAUAUUUUAUUAUUUUUUCUUCGCCUCUCUUCACCGAUGGGACGAAGUCAAUUACACCGUUUGAGGUUAACUCGAAUUUCGACGGUAAUUUUUUGUGGCGACCCAAACAAUGAAAGUGGUCGUUU